AAGUCGUAACAAGGUUUCCGUAGGUGAACCUGCGGAAGGAUCAUUCACACAAAAAUAUCCACAUAUUGUGAACCAACUAAAACCAUGCGCUCACCACGUGCAAGGCUGUUUGCCCGCACGGUAUGGGAGAUACCAGGCUGUUUGCCAGCAUCUUAUGGUGGGACAUACUUUGAUUCAUGUCAAAUUUCAAAAAAUUUGUCAUAACUAUCAGCGAUGGAUGUCUUGGUUCUC
RNAcentral lists this unclassified non-coding RNA (231 nucleotides) under fungal sp. RNAcentral's name for it is "partial internal transcribed spacer region". The stretch from base 1 to 46 matches the Rfam family "Eukaryotic small subunit ribosomal RNA", at positions 1786 to 1831 of the family's 1831-position model. Lineage: Eukaryota; Fungi. The record is from RNAcentral.